This 497-nucleotide ribosomal RNA is filed under the name uncultured bacterium. Its description in RNAcentral is "partial 16S ribosomal RNA". It matches the Rfam family "Bacterial small subunit ribosomal RNA", at positions 28 to 507 of the family's 1533-position model. The record is from RNAcentral.
GAUGAACGCUGGCGGCGUGCCUAAUACAUGCAAGUCGAGCGAACGGACGAGAAGCUUGCUCCUUUGAUGUUAGCGGCGGACGGGUGAGUAACACGUGGAUAACCUACCUAUAAGACUGGGAUAACUUCGGGAAACCGGAGCUAAUACCGGAUAAUAUUUCGAACCGCAGGGUGCAAAAGAGAAAGACAGCUUUGCUGUCACUUAUAGAUGGAUCCGCGCUGCAUUAGCUAGUUGGUAAGGUAACGGCUUACCAAGGCAACGAUGCGUAGCCGACCUGAGAGGGUGAUCGGCCACACUGGAACUGAGACACGGUCCAGACUCCUACGGGAGGCAGCAGUAGGGAAUCUUCCGCAAUGGGCGAAAGCCUGACGCAGCCACGCCGCGUGAGUGAUGAAGGUCUUCGGAUCGUAAAACUCUGUUAUUAGGGAAGAACAUAUGUGUAAGUAACUGUGCACGUCUUGACGGUACCUAAUCAGAAAGCCACGGCUAACUACGUG